UCUAUUAUGGAUUAGAUCUCACGAGCUUACUAAUCAAUGGUUUUGUAUGUUGUCUUUUUAUGCAUCAACAUGCACAUAACUAUAAUGUAAUUUACGGACUAAAACAACUAAUCAAAUUACCAAUGAACUGCUAGGAAAGAAACUAAAAUGUGCUGCGCAACACAUGUUUCAGUCAUCUCUACUCUGUUAAUAAUACAAUAUUAUUCCACUUUGCUCACAACUGGUUGGCUACCUUUCGUGUAUAGUUAACUUGUGGAUGUCUUAGCAACAAGGCUAAGCUAUGAAAGCUACUGCAAUUAGUAGUUCUAACCCCACCAUUUGAAAGCCUACAUAGUAUUUAAAUGAACUGAUAAUCAAGCUGCAAUAUACAACAUAAGCUAGGAUUAGUAUCUAAACAACUGUAAUGAAGCCAUCUGCAAACAAUACACCAUAGGGUUAUUAUCUAAACAUUUGAAGGAUAACUCUUCUGUCAGUAGCCUCAAGCAGUACACACUGUGACCCUGAUAAUGCAGAUAUUGCUCCUAGCAGGAAGAACAAAAAAAUCCAUGGAUGGAUUUUACUGGUUUGACAUGGUCUACACUACAACUUACACAAGUCACUAGUUCCAGGGACGUGGUAUAUUUAAAAUGUAAAUAUCAUCUAAGUUCUUUCCCCUGCCCUCUCUCUCUUUCUCUAAGGAUAUUUUGUGCUAACUGAUGAAACACUGCCUUCUCUGUUAUUGUCAAAUCCUUCAUAUGCGAGACAUUCUCUUCCCUCUGACCUUAUCCGCACUAUAAGGUAACACUUGUACAAAUAUUACUAGCAGAGCAUACCGUACAACCAAGAUUUCAAAUUUAAGCUUGCAUACCAUUUCAAUCAACAACUACUGAGCACAUAUAUAAUGCUAACUUUUUAAGUUACUGAAAUCAAGACAUACAAUUCAAUGAUUCAUAACCUCAAUUUAUCAACUUAAUAAUUUAUUUUAACAUUUUCGAGCUAAAAAAUAUAACACAUUAUAAUUCCUAAGAGCACUUCUAGGUGGACAUGAAAAUUGUACAUGAAUUUCAUCUAUUUGUAUUUUUACCCCUAUUGCGUAAAAUUCAAACACCAAUUUUCAUGUCCAAUUAGACUUUUUGUUCAAAUUAUACAAACCUAACAGAAUGACUGGUUUGAUAAAUCAAAGCCAUGAGAAGUUCAUAAAUGAACACAUUCCUCCAAGGGAUAGAAACUGCAACAAUUGGAGGUAAAUUGAAAGAAAUUCAUCUAAGAUGGUUUGACCAAUGACCAAAAGUGUAGCUGAAGAUCAAUUCUCUUUAUAUAUAAUAACUAUAACCUAGGUUUAGCUAGGCAAAUUGUUAUAUGUAUUCAUAUAUUACAAGUACUUAUGAAUGAAUACCACAGAAAAAAAUUACCCAUUUCGAACAGAAUUGUUCAUUCUCCGGGAUUAAAGUGAAAUGUAUUUGAUCACAAAACACAAACAGAACUACAAAAGAUAGUGAUUUCGAAAGAUAAAUUAUUUUUCUUUUCAAAUGAGUUUGAAAGGGAGAGGCCAAGGGGUGGACCUGGGGACCUCAACUUUGUCUUUGAUGCGCUCAAUCUUCUUCUCUUUCUUGGGCCUUGAGUUUCCGAAUGACCCAUUGAAUCUCUUCCCUCUCUUCGUUUUCUUGUCCCCUCUGCCGCACACUAUCGGCGUUGCCGGCGCCGUUGAUGACGACGACAACCAAGUUGAUGAAGAAAGUGACGAAAAUGUUGCUCCCACUGCUCUACUCUCGGUCGUCAGCAUCAAUCUCUUUACUGCUGCGCCGUACCACUGCAUCAUCAUUGCCAUGAUUUUCCUCCCACGAAAACCCUAGGACAGAAAACUGUCAGAUUUCCAAGCACCAAGCUCAGAGAAUGCAGAAAUAAAAUUAUGCAGUGUACACUUUAGUAUAACUGGGACAGUGUUGGAUCAAGUUUCGGCCCAUUAAGCUCAACUCACUUAGGGCCUGGCCCAUCUCCAAUAUUUUGUUUUCCCAUAUUCAAUUUUUUUUAUAUAUAUAAUAAUUAUCUGGGACCUCUAGUAUAAUUGAAGUACACUUCCAUAUGCUUUAGUUUUAGUCAGUCUUGUUUUCUUUUUAGUUUUUGUUUUGUUGUUGUCAUUUUUUUUAAAGCUUUUAAACUUAAAACUAAAAUUAAAAUCAUUUCAUUUAACUCGUGAAAAGUAAAAUUAGAACCCUGGCAAGUUCAAAUAUUUUUACUCGUUACAUCUAACAAGCUUGAUUUAUUUUUAAACUAAAUAGAAUUUUUUUUAAAUAACUGUAGUCAACUCUCAAGCUUUUACACUAGUUAUUUAAGCUCAUAUCAUGUUAUGUUCCACUUGUUCUCAAGUUUGUUGAGUUUGAGUUAUUCACAAGUUAGUGAAUUUACACCCACUAAGCUAUCCUUUUUAAGCUAUAAUGUAUCAGUGGUGUACUAGUGUUGUUUGUGUGCGUUAGGUGGG
RNAcentral lists this long non-coding RNA (2458 nucleotides) under Panax ginseng (ginseng). RNAcentral's name for it is "long non-coding RNA (PGIN_LNC006235)". Lineage: Eukaryota; Viridiplantae; Streptophyta; Magnoliopsida; Apiales; Araliaceae. The record is from RNAcentral.